GGUUUGAUCCUGGCUCAGGAUGAACGCUAGCUACAGGCUUAACACAUGCAAGUCGAGGGGCAGCAUGGUCUUAGCUUGCUAAGGCCGAUGGCGACCGGCGCACGGGUGAGUAACACGUAUCCAACCUGCCGUCUACUCUUGGACAGCCUUCUGAAAGGAAGAUUAAUACAAGAUGGCAUCAUGAGUCCGCAUGUUCACAUGAUUAAAGGUAUUCCGGUAGACGAUGGGGAUGCGUUCCAUUAGAUAGUAGGCGGGGUAACGGCCCACCUAGUCUUCGAUGGAUAGGGGUUCUGAGAGGAAGGUCCCCCACAUUGGAACUGAGACACGGUCCAAACUCCUACGGGAGGCAGCAGUGAGGAAUAUUGGUCAAUGGGCGAGAGCCUGAACCAGCCAAGUAGCGUGAAGGAUGACUGCCCUAUGGGUUGUAAACUUCUUUUAUAAAGGAAUAAAGUCGGGUAUGCAUACCCGUUUGCAUGUACUUUAUGAAUAAGGAUCGGCUAACUCCGUGCCAGCAGCCGCGGUAAUACGGAGGAUCCGAGCGUUAUCCGGAUUUAUUGGGUUUAAAGGGAGCGUAGAUGGAUGUUUAAGUCAGUUGUGAAAGUUUGCGGCUCAACCGUAAAAUUGCAGUUGAUACUGGAUAUCUUGAGUGCAGUUGAGGCAGGCGGAAUUCGUGGUGUAGCGGUGAAAUGCUUAGAUAUCACGAAGAACUCCGAUUGCGAAGGCAGCCUGCUAAGCUGCAACUGACAUUGAGGCUCGAAAGUGUGGGUAUCAAACAGGAUUAGAUACCCUGGUAGUCCACACGGUAAACGAUGAAUACUCGCUGUUUGCGAUAUACUGCAAGCGGCCAAGCGAAAGCGUUAAGUAUUCCACCUGGGGAGUACGCCGGCAACGGUGAAACUCAAAGGAAUUGACGGGGGCCCGCACAAGCGGAGGAACAUGUGGUUUAAUUCGAUGAUACGCGAGGAACCUUACCCGGGCUUAAAUUGCAGAUGAAUUACGGUGAAAGCCGUAAGCCGCAAGGCAUCUGUGAAGGUGCUGCAUGGUUGUCGUCAGCUCGUGCCGUGAGGUGUCGGCUUAAGUGCCAUAACGAGCGCAACCCUUGUUGUCAGUUACUAACAGGUUCCGCUGAGGACUCUGACAAGACUGCCAUCGUAAGAUGUGAGGAAGGUGGGGAUGACGUCAAAUCAGCACGGCCCUUACGUCCGGGGCUACGCACGUGUUACAAUGGGGGGUACAGAGGGCCGCUACCACGCGAGUGGAUGCCAAUCCCCAAAACCUCUCUCAGUUCGGACUGGAGUCUGCAACCCGACUCCACGAAGCUGGAUUCGCUAGUAAUCGCGCAUCAGCCACGGCGCGGUGAAUACGUUCCCGGGCCUUGUACACACCGCCCGUCAAGCCAUGGGAGCCGGGGGUACCUGAAGUGCGUAACCGCGAGGAGCGCCCUAGGGUAAAACUGGUGACUGGGGCUAAGUCGUAACAAGGUAACC
Molecule: ribosomal RNA, 1487 nt
Filed under: uncultured bacterium
Lineage: Bacteria
Description: bacterial SSU rRNA
Rfam family: Bacterial small subunit ribosomal RNA
Source: RNAcentral